This 86-nucleotide non-coding RNA is filed under the name Rhodanobacter spathiphylli. RNAcentral describes it as "Rhodanobacter sp. ZTP sequence". It matches the Rfam family "ZMP/ZTP riboswitch aptamer (pfl RNA motif)". Rfam says of the family: Previously known as pfl RNA. ZMP is also known as AICAR. RNAcentral also lists the same sequence under 1 other name. Lineage: Bacteria; Pseudomonadati; Pseudomonadota; Gammaproteobacteria; Lysobacterales; Rhodanobacteraceae. The record is from RNAcentral.
UCGCGUUCGCGUCACUGGCGCCGCGAGAGGGAGCACCCUCGGGGAGCGCGGACACCAUACCGUAGCCGCGCGCCUGGGCACUCCUC